CUACAUUUUGGAACGGAGGGAGUGGAGAUAGAUGCUGCUAUGCUGCCGCAUGUGCGACGAAGCUAGCUUAUGUACACAGUUUACCCUGUAGCAUAGAUCUCUGGUCAGUAGAUAGAUGUUUUGUUCACGAUUCCCUUAAUUACUGCAAGUGGUGCACAAAUUACGACUAGCGCCCAUAAACCUUCAACAAGAUGCAAGCUGUAUCCGGCAUACCAGGGUGGAGAAUGGCCCUUAUACAGUCGUACUGCUGUACAACCACUGAUUUCACAAUUCAGGACUCACGUCCUAUACUCCAAGUGCCUGAUUUUUUCCUUACCUUUUACUUUUAUUCCAGUCGCCAGCAAGUUAACGGCAGCGGCUCUCUGGUGGAACUUGCCGGGUGGUGGCAAGCCUGGCUGUGAGGGCAGGACCGCAGGAAGGCAGGGCUAGGGAUGCGGGGCGGGUUUUUUUGGCCGCGAACCUGCUGGGUGAGCCCGUACCGUGAAUCCACGUAACCCGCGUAAUUGCAGCGGUCCAAGCGGGCAUGCCCGCCGUACUCAACGGCGCCGCAAGCGUCAUUCAUACGAGCGUGAAAAUUCUUAUCUUCUCCUAAUAGUACAACAGGCCGUCCCUAGUCACUGCUUUGACUUUUUAUCAACCAGCGGCUGGUAUGUUGCUUAUAUAUGGAGCCACGGCAACUUAUGUAACUAGAUUUUGUGUUUGUUGAAGAUUUUUUUACCUCACGAUCUUGUAAUAAGUGUGCACAUGAAUUAGCUCGAUCUAGUUUGAGUUGGGACUCGGAUCAGUCAUGUGUUUGGCUUAAUCCCCUACCGGAAUUUGUAAAGUUAUUAGCAGUUCAUAAUUUUCCUGAACCACAGACAAAACGAUUUGUAGUGAUGCCCAUUGUUUAGCGACGGGCGAAAUUACCACCUGCACCUACAAAACGUGGGGAGGAGGAUUACUGUAGCAUCCGCACCGCCCCUGGAGAAACAUUUGCAGGGACGGGUCACGAGGACCCGCCCCUAGAAAUGGGCACUAUUUCCAAGGGUGGGUGAUGCCGAUACGUCGCCAAGAAUUUUUUACAACAAAAAGAAAAAUAAUUUGCAGGGAUGGGUGAUGGCGUCAUCCGUCCCUAAAAAUCUUUUCUAGGAGUAGGUGAUGGUGUCACCCGCCCCUUUCCCAGGGCAGGUGACUGCUAAUGCCUCCUAUAUAAGGCAGUCCGCACCGGGGACUUAGCCAAAAAUUCACAGAAGCGCGCGGGACGUCGUUAGGCUGCCGAAUUUUCACUUCCCUCCCCCGAUCUGCCGCCCCCUCCCCCAUGGGCUCCACCACCGCAGUGCCUCCCCUUCCCCCCGGGCCACCGCGCCACGCCUCCUCCCCUCCCUCACGGCGCCUUCCUGUCGCGGCGCCUCCCCUCCCCGCUGCCUCCACCGCUGGGCCAUAGCGCUGAGCCUCCUCCCCUCCUCCCGUGGUGCCUUCCCAUUGCGGUGCCUCCUCUCCCCGCGUCUCCCCUCCUGUGCCGCCUCCACCACCAUGCCUCCCUUUCCACGGGCUACCGCCAUAGCGCCUCCCUCCCCCGCGCGCCUCCCUUCCCCGCGGUGCCUCCGUCCACGACCGUCAGUUUCUUAAUUUUAUUUUAUUUUCUUUUUAUUUUUUUAUUUUGAUUUUAUUUUAACUAUGAGCCGUACUCUCUCCGUCCCAAAUUACAAGUUAUUUUGGCCUUUUUAGAUUCAUAGACUUUGUUAUGCACUAAGAUAUACACUAUAUCUAGAUGCAUAAUAAUAUCUAUGCAUCUAGAAAAGCCAAAACGACCUAUAAUUUGGGAUGGAGGAAGUAGUACUUAGUGUAAAACAACAAUUACAAAUUUCUUCCAUUAUCUUAGACAAUCUUUUAUCCUUAGCAUUUCGUGAAUUAUGAUGUUUUACGGCGCAAUUAUUAUUAAAGUUGAUGUUUGUGGAAUAAUCUAUCUUAUUACAAUUUUAUUUGGAUAGUUUGUGCUAAGUAUGGCAAAUAGACAUUCUUUUCGCCACGGUGGUGGCGGUCGUGGAAGUGGCAGGGAACACUACAUUUUCGAGGAGCCACCGUUGGUUCGUCCUCCGGGAAUUCACUUCCCUAAUCGCGUCAUUGACUUGCCUACCGACGAUCGAAGUAAAGGAGCAAUUUCCAAUAUAGUAAUUCCUAAUUUUAUUACACAUGCAUAUAGUUCCCAAUAUAGUAAUAUUAUUUCCUUCUUGUAAUUGGUUGUUUUAUUACACAUUAAUAAUUUCUUUUUACUUACAUACAAUAUAGCUUAUGGACCCUAUUAGAUGGCUCAAAGAUGUUGUCGAAGCUCUAGAUGGUACCACUCCUUUAGUGUAAUCCGAGGUUGGUGGUGCAAGUAAUUUUAUAAGACUAAAGAUCUCUUUUGAAGUACCUGUUCGAGGAGGAUAGGCCAACUUGAUGCGACGACCAGGAUAGGCUAUUCCGAUGGUAUCAAUUGUCGCAUGAGGUAAAGAAGCAGCUUGACUUUUGAAAAGCCCGUCGUAAAGGCAUGCCUACAACAACUGGAUAAUGGGUACUUUAUGCCAGGCUUCUUAUAUUUUCGAAUAAAGACGCUCGAGGAGAGAGAAAGCAAUGUGACUAUGACUACUGUGAGGUUUUAUCAGCUGAAUCAACAUGACAUGGUAUGUAAUAUAUCUAUUCAUUCUUACAUCUUUAGUUAUGUUACAUCUCUCAACUUUCAUCACAUUAUUUUUAUUUUUAGGAUAUCUUUGGUCAAAUAUUUGCGGCAAUGAGAUUUCAUACGAUUCUAGCUCAAGUCUUAGAUGUGUUGAAUUAUAGUUACAUCGAUGGAAACUUGAUACGCACUAGAGAUUUUAAGCUCCAGGCUCAUCUCACUUUCUACAGGCCAUAUGAUUUUACCUCUCCAUUGUUCGAGAUUUAUGGUAGUGUAUGUGAUCAUCCAUACGAAGCGAUAGAGAGUGCACUAAUUCAUGCUCUAGUUUAUAUUGAUGAAGUUCUAGGCUUUAAGAUUAGAGACUUAAACUAUAUUUCAUAUCUAUGAAGCGAAGCUAAGUAUGAAAUAUGUAGCAUGCAUGGAUGCUCUACCCUUUUCUUAUGAAUUUGAACUUGUUCUGUCUAAGACCAAAGUAUUUAUGCAUGAACUUGCAUUAUGAGACUGGUUAUAUAUAUUCUGUUGCAUAUACAAUGUUCUGUGAGUGUUGGAUCUGAAUGGGUUGAUACAUGGGAGAAUCACAUUUUAAAAAUUUGGCGCAAAAAUAGUACAAAAUUUUGGCGGGAACGACAUUUCCAGCGGCGGGUGAUACCAUCACCCGCCUAGUUUGUAAGGGCGGUUCAUGACAUCACCCGCCCUUGAAAAUGUCUUUACAGGGUGGAUCUAUUACACGCUCUUGCAAACAGCUACUUUUAACUGCGAAAAGCAGGAACGGAUAGCAUGCCCGCCUUUACAAAUGCUAUUUCAACCAUCCUUGGAAACCGUUUUUUAUAGUGAUAAAUAAAAAAAUAUUUUUUAAAAAAAGUACAAUAGGCCGUCCUAACCCUACGAGCGUCAUGCGUACGAGCGUGAAGCGUCCCUGCCCUCCAAACCCAGUAGCAAUCACUGUGGCUCCUGAGUGCUGCCCCAAGCUUGAAGCUUCGUAUCCGAAAGUUCUCCUUUGGCCGCACUUGGCAUUGUCCUGCGACCCUGUCUCCCAGUCUGGCAGACCGCCACUGCCUGGCUCGAGCACGGUACCACCAUUCAAGUGAAGCAUUAGUGGUCUCCGUUUCAGCCAUUCUCGAGACCAUCCGAACAGUUAAAUUAGGUCAGGCAUAAGAGGAUAUCAAACGCCUUCCUGGAUCGCUGGGCUUCGUGCCGAAGCCAGCUAGCUACACACCUUUGGCAUCGUCGGGGGCUCAUCCCUGCACAAGAUAGUCGUGCCGUUCGAUCACCAUCCCACGUUGGCAGCCUGGCAGGACGCCCGUGAGGCGAUGAGUCGUUACGCGAGCUUAGACAGGUUAAGUAACUAUAGUAACCUUCUACUGCUUUAACUAACUGAUAAUCACUUCGAAGGAAGAAUACCAGAUUCUAUUCACUAGUAGAGAAUUGGCUUUCGAUCCGCCCCCUUUUGUCCCGGUUUAAAGUUGGCCCGGGACAAAAGGGGGUGCGCCACGGUAGGUAAAAUUGGAGGGGAGAUUUACUCCCGGUUGGUAAUUGCAACCGGGACUAAAGGCCCCACUUUAGUCCCAGUUGCAACGGCUAGCUGGGGGGCGUCGGUGGCGGGACCCUUUUAUCUCAGUUGGAGGAUCCAACCGGGAUAAAAGGUGAACCCUUUUAUCCCGGUUGGAGGCACCAACCGGGAUAAAAAGUUUAGUCCCGGUUGGUGCCUCCAACCGUUGGAGCCUCCAACCGGGACUAAACUUCCAACCAGGACAAAAGGUGUUCCUUUUUGUCUCGGUUGGAGUUUUUAACCGAGAUAAAAACUCAUCCCCAUUAUAUACGGCCAAGACAGAGGACUUUCUUCCUCCUCCAGCCCGAGCCAGUCCAGCACAUUGACAGAGAGAGCUGAGCUUCACCUACUCUCCAGUGGUGCCGAAGCAAGCAAGGAAGGUGCUGCCCGAAGUUUUUUCCCUCAUUUUCGUGGGAAUUUCACUUGGCCAACACAAGUGUUGCGAAGGUUUGCUACUUCAUCCUCGUGUUAUGCUUUGAUUUAUGCUUUGGAGAUGGAAAGAUUAUUUGCUAGAAUGUGAUGAUGAAGUAGAAAAAUGGAGAGGUAUUUUGAGCUAGAAUGUGAGGGAGAUUGAUGUGUCAUAUAUAGUAUGCAUUAUUGCAAUGGUUUAAAAAUGAUGCUACCUUGUCUAGACGGUUUAUCUUAUCAAAUUCAAUAUAGUUUUUUAAAUCCAUACUUGUUGAACUUGCAUACCAUGUUCAUUUCUGCUACGAUGUUCUCCGCCGAGCAGCAACGUAUGUCAAGAAGGAGGUUCGAUUCUACAAGAAAGAGUGGAUACGGACAUCGUGACCGUGUCCCCUUUUCCGUAGCAUCUAACCUCUUUCAUGACGAAGUGCGGUGCUGCCCAGCUGAGGACAUCCUCGCGAAAUGAUCACGGUCUUCAAGUUCAACAACUUCUGUAGUGGUAAGGAAAGAAUUUUUGUACAUAGAUGACUUCUGCUACUUGUUGAACUUGCAUACCGUGUUCAUCUCUCCGAGGAUGUUUUCCGCCGAGCAGCAACGUAUGUCAAGAAGGAGGUUCGAUUCUACGAGAAAGAGUGGAUACGGACAUCGUGACCGUGUCCCCUUUUCCGUAGCAUCUAACCUCUUUCAUGACGAUGUUGGGAUACGAGGUAGGCUACACUAGCGUAAAUCAAAAUUUCUACCGCGUAUAACCAGGAAGAACUGCCGUAUAAGGAUCACGGGAUUACCACUCGACGCACUACUGGUGCGGAAGAUGUAGAUAUGCGUCGAUGCAGUGAAGACGAUCACGUAGUCGUACGUAGUCGAUCAACGUAGUCGUACGUAGUCGAUCACGUCACGUCCAGCAGCUCCCACGUGCAGCAAGAUCGCCUCCGGUGCCGCGGCUCAUCGUGGCUCGUCGAUGGCUCGUCCAAGUGCUGCAGGCGCAACACCUCCAAGGUAUCCACACGUGCAGGGAGGAAGCGUCGCAAGCUGGACUGCUAGAUCCGCGAGUUGCAACAGGCGAGGGCGUGGGAGGCGCGGCAGAUGUGUUUCGCCAAAAGGUGUAAACCCUAGGGCGCCCCCACCCCUCUAUUUAUAGAGGUUCCUGACGGGCCUCUGGAUCCGAGGCCCAUUAGUACUUCUAAAACUAAUCCAACUCGGAUCUGAUCCGAAUUGGGCUUCCAGCCCCUUAAGUGUGUGACCCUAUGGGUUCGGAUACGUAUAGACAUGGCCCGAGUACUCCUACUCGGCCCAAUAGUCGGUAGCGGCCUCUAGCAAGACGUGCCAACUCCUACACGCACACGAAGAUCAUAUCAGACGAACCAUCACAACAUAAUAUACAUGCUAUUCCCUUUGCCUCACGAUAUUUGGUCUAGCUUCAAGCCGACCGCUCUUUCUCGAUCCUGUGAUUCGGAAUCCCUUUGUAGGUUAACUCUUAACCGUACGUAGCAUGGCCAUGCAUUUUCGGAUCCGAUCACUCGAGGGCCCCAGAGAUAUCACUCUCAAUCAGAGAGGGGCAAAUCCUAUCUUGACUGACCAUGUCUCAUAGCAUGCUUCUUGACAAACCCGAAAGCUACCUUUAUAACUACCCUGUUACGGCGUAGCAUUUGAUAGCCCCUAAGUAGGUCGAUCCACAUCUAGAAUACAUGCGACAGUCUCAGGUCUAAGGACAAAGCGUAUAUGUUGUUUAAAGAGAGAACUACUUCUCGUGUUGGGUCAGUCCUAGCACAUGUCUCCACAUGUGUCCACAUUAUCAGUUCAACAUCUCCAUGUCCAUGACUUGUGAAACAUAGUCAUCAACUAAUACAUGUGCUAGUCUAAUAUUCAUGUGUGUCCUCACAUGAACUCCGACUAGGGACAACUUUAGAAUAACCAUACAAGUAAAGAGUUUCACAUACAAUUCACAUAAUUGCAAAUCAAUUCAAGUAGCCUUUAAUGGAUAUUCAAUGAACACAAUAUACAAAUCAUGGAUACAAAUGGAAUAUCAUCAUCUCUAUGAUUGCCUCUAGGGCAUACCUCCAACAGUCUCCCACUUGCACUAGAGUCAAUCUAGAAGGUACCUAAUACCCAUAGCUCUUACAUGCGCAUCAUGCUUAGCCUGCGGGAGUGGUUUUGUCAAUGGAUCAGAAAUGUUCAGAUCCGUGUGUAUUUUGCAUAUCUUGAUCUCACCCCGGUUAACGAAGUCUCGAAUGAGAUGAAAUCGCCGCAUUACGUGUUUGUUCUUCUGGUGGUUCCUUGGCUCCUUUGCUUGCGCAAUUGCCCUAUUAUUAUCACAGUAGAGAUUCAAUGGGCUGGACGCAUUCGGGAACACACCAAGCUCAAUGAGGAAAUUCCUUAUCCAAACACCUUCCUUCGCGGCUUCCAAAGCCGCGAUGUACUCGGCUUCUGUCGUAGAAUCGGCCACCGUCUCCUGCUUGGAACUCUUCCAACUAACAGCACCACCAUUUAGCGUGAACACAAAUCCUGAUUGUGACUUUGAAUCAUCUCUGUCGGUUUGGAAACUAGCAUCGGUGUAACCUGUUACAAC
RNAcentral lists this long non-coding RNA (7155 nucleotides) under Setaria italica (foxtail millet). Its description in RNAcentral is "long non-coding RNA (SITA_LNC000562)". Lineage: Eukaryota; Viridiplantae; Streptophyta; Magnoliopsida; Poales; Poaceae. The record is from RNAcentral.